ACGCUAGCUACAGGCUUAACACAUGCAAGUCGAGGGGAAACGACAUCGAAAGCUUGCUUUUGACGGGCGUCGACCGGCGCACGGGUGAGUAACGCGUAUCCAACCUGCCCAUCACUUGGGGAUAACCUUGCGAAAGUAAGACUAAUACCCAAUGAUAUCUCUAGAAGACAUCUGAAAGAGAUUAAAGGUUUAUCGGUGAUGGAUGGGGAUGCGUCUGAUUAGCUUGUUGGCGGGGUAACGGCCCACCAAGGCGACGAUCAGUAGGGGUUCUGAGAGGAAGGUCCCCCACAUUGGAACUGAGACACGGUCCAAACUCCUACGGGAGGCAGCAGUGAGGAAUAUUGGUCAAUGGGCGAGAGCCUGAACCAGCCAAGUAGCGUGCAGGAUGACGGCCCUAUGGGUUGUAAACUGCUUUUAUAAGGGAAUAAAGUGAGUCUCGUGAGACUUUUUGCAUGUACCUUAUGAAUAAGGACCGGCUAAUUCCGUGCCAGCAGCCGCGGUAAUACGGAAGGUCCGGGCGUUAUCCGGAUUUAUUGGGUUUAAAGGGAGCGUAGGCCGGAGAUUAAGCGUGUUGUGAAAUGUAGAUGCUCAACGUCUGCACUGCAGCGCGAACUGGUUUCCUUGAGUACGCACAAAGUGGGCGGAAUUCGUGGUGUAGCGGUGAAAUGCUUAGAUAUCACGAAGAACUCCGAUUGCGAAGGCAGCUCACUGGAGCGCAACUGACGCUGAAGCUCGAAAGUGCGGGUAUCGAACAGGAUUAGAUACCCUGGUAGUCCGCACGGUAAACGAUGGAUGCCCGCUGUUGGUCUGAAUAGGUCAGCGGCCAAGCGAAAGCAUUAAGCAUCCCACCUGGGGAGUACGCCGGCAACGGUGAAAC
RNAcentral lists this ribosomal RNA (877 nucleotides) under uncultured bacterium. RNAcentral describes it as "bacterial SSU rRNA". It matches the Rfam family "Bacterial small subunit ribosomal RNA", at positions 33 to 900 of the family's 1533-position model. The record is from RNAcentral.